CCUUAUGUCUUGUGUUUUCUACCAUGCAGUCGAGCGGCAGCGGAAAGUAGCUUGCUACUUUGCCGGCGAGCGGCGGACGGGUGAGUAAUGUCUGGGAAACUGCCUGAUGGAGGGGGAUAACUACUGGAAACGGUAGCUAAUACCGCAUAACGUCGCAAGACCAAAGAGGGGGACCUUCGGGCCUCUUGCCAUCAGAUGUGCCCAGAUGGGAUUAGCUAGUAGGUGGGGUAACGGCUCACCUAGGCGACGAUCCCUAGCUGGUCUGAGAGGAUGACCAGCCACACUGGAACUGAGACACGGUCCAGACUCCUACGGGAGGCAGCAGUGGGGAAUAUUGCACAAUGGGCGCAAGCCUGAUGCAGCCAUGCCGCGUGUAUGAAGAAGGCCUUCGGGUUGUAAAGUACUUUCAGCGGGGAGGAAGGCGUUGAGGUUAAUAACCUCAGCGAUUGACGUUACCCGCAGAAGAAGCACCGGCUAACUCCGUGCCAGCAGCCGCGGUAAUACGGAGGGUGCAAGCGUUAAUCGGAAUUACUGGGCGUAAAGCGCACGCAGGCGGUCUGUCAAGUCGGAUGUGAAAUCCCCGGGCUCAACCUGGGAACUGCAUUCGAAACUGGCAGGCUAGAGUCUUGUAGAGGGGGGUAGAAUUCCAGGUGUAGCGGUGAAAUGCGUAGAGAUCUGGAGGAAUACCGGUGGCGAAGGCGGCCCCCUGGACAAAGACUGACGCUCAGGUGCGAAAGCGUGGGGAGCAAACAGGAUUAGAUACCCUGGUAGUCCACGCCGUAAACGAUGUCGACUUGGAGGUUGUGCCCUUGAGGCGUGGCUUCCGGAGCUAACGCGUUAAGUCGACCGCCUGGGGAGUACGGCCGCAAGGUUAAAACUCAAAUGAAUUGACGGGGGCCCGCACAAGCGGUGGAGCAUGUGGUUUAAUUCGAUGCAACGCGAAGAACCUUACCUACUCUUGACAUCCAGAGAACUUAGCAGAGAUGCUUUGGUGCCUUCGGGAACUCUGAGACAGUGCCUGCAUGGCUGUCGUCAGCUCGUGUUGGUGAAAUGGUUUGGGUUAAGUCCCGCAACGAGCGCAACCCUUAUCCUUUGUUGCCAGCGGUCCGGCGGGAACUCAAGGAGACUGCCAGUGAUUAAACCUGGGAAGGAAAGGUGGGGAUGAACGUCAAGUCAUCAUGCCUACGAGUAGGGCUACCACACGUGCCUACAUGGCGCAUACAAGGAGAGCGACCUCGCGGAGAAGCAGCGGGACCCUCAUAUAAGGUGGCGCGUCCGAUAGGUUG
This 1286-nucleotide ribosomal RNA is filed under the name Enterobacter kobei. RNAcentral's name for it is "bacterial SSU rRNA". It matches the Rfam family "Bacterial small subunit ribosomal RNA", at positions 35 to 1303 of the family's 1533-position model. Lineage: Bacteria; Pseudomonadati; Pseudomonadota; Gammaproteobacteria; Enterobacterales; Enterobacteriaceae. The record is from RNAcentral.